AAAGCAUAACUAUGAUGGCAGACAAAGCAGUGUUGGCCAAUCAAUAAGUUUUGUAGUAGCAGACCCUACUGGGAAAGUACAGUUAGCUAAUUAGUAUUGGAUCUUUAUUUUUCUGGAUUCUUCAGUAAUAAAGUAUCAUAAUAUCAUAGUAUGAAAUAUAUUUAUAUACAACAUCCUUUUCGCCUCCUUUAUAUUGUGGGUGUCUCCUCCUGGAUGGCAUAUCCCAUUAUUCUCCCCCAUCUAAUGCACAUAAAUGGCAUGAAAAACUCACAAUGACUUUUAGCUACAUCUUUGCGGACACCAUUCUGAGUGUCUUCUGUGGCAAUACUGUUCUGCCUGGAUAAUAAACGCUGCCUUGAUUAUGUAUGGCAGCCUGCCCCAGUUAGGAACAGGGGAAAAAUACAUAAUCAGGGCAAUAUAGUCAGGACAUGCCGGUUUAUUAUGUACGGCAGUCUAGUUUUAUCUGAGACUUUUAGAACGAACAUACCUGGGCAGGCCGACUUAUGUUUUUAUAUUAUUUCCCACUUUAGAACAAACAUAAUCAGGGGCUGAUCGCUAUUAUAUACACUUCUGACAAGCAAAUAGCCCUGGUGGCAAGAUGACGAAUGUUUAACUGUGAUGAGGAAUGUUAUGUGGUGACGAGUCAGUGAUACUCUGCAUAGUUGACUAAAGUGGCAUUACAUAAUAACAAAAGAAAUGUUGUUAGUUAGGGUAUAUAUGAUGAUAGUGUAGGGAGCACGGGUGGGUGGGAAUCUUUAGCUCUAACCGUUGUUUAGAAAUCCGAAAAUUGAAAUGGACAAUGUAGAAGAUUUAUAGCCUUGUCCUUAUAAGUGAGACAUCACAUAGGUCUCAUACCUUAUUGUGAAAACAAGCAGGUAGGUCAUGCUGGGCUCACGAGUCUAGAGUUGCAACAAGAGUGACAGUGAUACAAGGUGGGGUUAACAGUGUAGACAUAUAAUACGUGUCAAAAUUUUAAACAAUUGCUAAACAAUUGCAUAAGAACAAUAAAUGUUUGAAAAAUUAAACAUUUUACAAAUACUAGUCGGUGCACCAUGAAAAAACACAGGUUCGCUCGUCCUUUCUAUACCGCAUUCAGUGAGUCUCGCUACUUGCUGUACUAUUUCGUGUGACAGACAGACAGACAGACGUAUAUGGGUAUUACAAUAUAGAUUUGGUCAAAUAACAAACAAACUACAUUGGCACUUUAAAUAUUUUUCAAAUUUUAGUGUUCUUUCAACAAUUUGUCUCAUUUUAAAAUACAGGUACACAUUGGGUGGGUGUAGUAGUAGCUAAACAUUGUUUAGGGCAAUGUGAGAAAUCAAUUGUUUAUAAAAAAAAAUUGUAGUUAAGUCACAAAACUUAAUCUGGUGAUUUUCUCUGAUCAGGUCUGUACCAGUAAAAACUUACACAAGGCUGAAUUUUCUUAUUUUUAGAGUCUUUAGCAUGAUUUGUUCUUAUUUUUUUCUUAAUAGAAAGAAAGCAAGUUUAAAAUUGAGCUUCAUUUUGUUCAUAUUUAUGAAACUUUUAAAAAAUUUGUUAAGGAAAUAUUGUUUUGGCCAAUAUUAUUUUGCAGAGAGAAAAGAUGAUGACAAGCAACAAAAAAAAUAAUUAGCUUGAGAGAGAAUUGCAAGAAAAUUCACAUUCUGGAUUGUUUCUUUUUUACAACAUAAGAUUGAUUUUCCGAUGCUAAGUGUCUUUUUACAAUAAGAUUUCAAUCCCUCUUAUCGUAUGUUGACAUAUCCUAAAAUGGAUAAAAAAUCAACAAGCAUUAUGAACAAGCUUGUCAAAAAAUAUCUUGUACAUAUGUUUGAUACUGUUGUUAUUAAUGUGUCAGGUUAAAAGCAUCAAGGUGAUGUGCUUGUCAUAUUUUGUGAAUUAAAAAUUGAUACAUAUUAUAAAUAUAGGUAUAGAUACAUAACAUUACAAAUGAAUCCUAUGUACAGAGUAAAGAUUCCAACACCCCAACCACGUUAUGUCUUUCUUAGCAAGUUAGGUGGUGGUCUUCUCUGGUUCUGGGUGUUAUGGAGAGCUAAGCAUGAUUGGAAUACCCUCUUUACUCAUUUUGAUGCUGAUAAAGUUUGGCAAAUCCCCGAUCCUAAUGCGAAAUCAUCUCAUCACUAACGUUGUGUCAGUUGUAUAUAUAUAUGUAUUAGUUUUUACAGUACCAAAAUAUAUCUUAAAUAUGA
Long non-coding RNA from Hydractinia symbiolongicarpus, 2186 nucleotides. RefSeq lists it as uncharacterized. The record is from RefSeq and is a predicted model, not a curated record. The transcript is spliced from 2 exons. NCBI's taxonomy places the organism in Eukaryota, Metazoa, Cnidaria, Hydrozoa, Anthoathecata, Hydractiniidae.